UUAAAGAUAAUAGAAUAUGAAAAAUAUUUAAAUAAUAUUUUUUAAAACAUAGCCUUCCCUACUUAUCCUUUCCCUCCCCCCUACGCACCCCACACAACCCUUUCCAUUCUUGUUCUUCUCUUAACCCCAUUGAUUUUCUUCCUUGAUAAUUUCUGAAUCGACGAUUGGGAAACAAUGAAGAAGUCAUUGAAAUUCUAACUUGUCCAUGGCCAUGGGUUAAUUUUUCUUUUUUCCUUUGUCAAAUUUGUCAGAAGUGUUUGCCUUUAUGAUUAGAUUUUGAACAAAAUUUCAUGACAAAGUCUCCAUUGACAUCCUCAUAUUUGUGGAAAAUUUUAAUUACCUCUGCCUACUUUAGAUUUGUCAAAACAUUUCCUUUCUUUUGUGAGAUUUUUGAAUAUUUGUAUGAAAUUUUUGACAUAAGAGUUUCCUUUGCUUGGUUAGAUUUGUGACAAUAUUGUUGUAUAGGGGGUUUUCUAGUUGGUUGGUUGACAAUCUUGGCGAGCUAUAGCUAGAAAAAAUGGAUAAAAAUUCUUGCAAAAAUAUUUUUUGUAGUGAUUUUUUCAAAUUUUUGUCAUAUAAAACUUGAAUCUUUUUUUUCUUUCUAAAAAUAGAGGAUAAUAAGUUUAUUUAGUAGAUGAUUAUAAAAAUGAUGUGGUUGCUAAUGUGGAUAUGAUGUGGCAUUUUUUUUUCUGAUGUGGAUAUGAUAUGUAAUCUAUGACAUACCAAGUGAGAAACGUGCGGGUUUAAAAUUUUUAAUUUGAACGAGUUUGUCUGGUAGAAACUUCAUGAAGUAAAAGGGUUCAGUUUACAAUCUGAAUCAAGUAUAAGAGACUAUCAGACCAUUUCGCCUUUCUACAGCAACACAAUAACUUUUUAUAGCUUUCUGAUCAAAAGCUCGGUGCUCUUCUGGUUCUUACGGAUUUCAAGGAGGGCAACUGUUCCAGGACGGAAAUGAUGAGGCUUCUUCAUCCCUCCAGUACCCGGUUCUCAUUUCCUUGCAGCUUUUGUUGCUAAUUGCUUUCUUGUCGCCUUUCCUCCCGUGGAAUUUUGGGAUAUUUUCUUUGUUCUUGCCAUGGGUGCAGAUGUUCUAGAGAAAGAAAGCUAAGAUUUAUGCCUAAAAAUUGAGUAUGGUUUCGGAUAGAUUACGCAGAUUGCGAACCAUGUGCUUUGCUCUGCGCUAUAAUUGCAUCUCAAAUGCCUUUUAUUUUUAUUCCUCUAUUUUUUAAGCUUUUCCCGUGUUCGGCGUUCUCUCUGGAGCUUGACUAAUUUGAAUUUUUGUCGGUAAGUGUAGUAAUUUGAGAGAUCUUGAAGAUCAAGGACUCUAGACUUAGACAGAAAUUUAAAGAAGACAGAGAAUUGAAGGAGUAGAGAGGAGACUGCAAAUUAUUAUAAUAGUUGCCAAAUGAUUACAUUUAGAGGUUAUAUAGUGCCUCCUCUGUUAUCUAUCUAUUAGGGGAUUAACGGAUCCUAACUAACUCUAGUAUAGGUCCACACAACUAACUAACUAAGUUAACUAACAAGCUGAAAUAAUGUAAAGACAGUUAUGCCCUUGUAGUCAAUAAUCAUCCCUUUUAACUAUCUUUUACAUUCCCCCUCAAGCUAGGAAGUGAGGAAAUGUUGUUAAACUCCUAGCUUGGAAGUCAGAUAGUGAUGUUGAAGCUUGCUCAAUCCUUUGGUCAGUAAGUCAUCUGCUUGAUCUUUUGUUGAGUUGUACUUGGUGGAUCCUUGAACUAGUUUUUCCCUUGUGAAAUGGCAAUCCGCUUUAAUAUGCUUGAUUCUUGCAUGAUAAGCAGGGUUUACAACAAUUCACAUUUCUGCCUUGCUUUCAUUAAAGAUGACCAUUGGUUGGUUUCCUCCCCUAGUUCUUUCAUAAGUCCAAGUAACCAAACUAUUUCAGUGAGAGUUGUUGCCAUCUUCUUCAUUCAGCUUCUGCUGAACUUUUAGAUAUUGUUUUUUUUUUUUGAGAUUUCCAAGUGACAAGUGAGCCUCCAAUCUUCACACAAUUACCAGUUACAGACUUUCUAGAAUGGGGAUAAGAUUUCCAAUCUGAGUCACAAUAGGCUGUUAUGUGUUCUUCGGAUUGCUUGACAGCAGAACACCUAAUCUAGGUUAUUUUUUGAUGUACCUGACUAUCCUUGUUGCUGCUUCUAUAAGUGACUUUUUCGGCUGCUGUAGAAAUUGAUUUAAGACUUGUACUCUAUAAGAUAUAUCGGGUCUGGUCAUUGUUAAAUAUAGUAGUUUUCCAAUCAAUCUCUGGUAGGUCUGCUGAUCAUUUAAUAGAUCAUGACUGGUCUUCUUUGUAUCUGUUGUAGUGUUAAUGAAAUCAUUUUGCUUGAUUGUCAGCUUGGUGUUUGUAUCAAUAGGAGUAACAGUAGGUUUAGAUGUACUUUGUCCUGCUUCAGAGAUUUCUAGACUGUAUUUUCUUUGAUGCAUUAGGAUCCCUUGCUGUGAUCUAACAGAGGUUUGAAUGCACUUAGUCCUGCUUCAGAGAUAAAUUCUAUCCUAGGAAAUACUUCAGUUCCCCCAGAUCCUUCAUCUUGAAGAAUCCAGAUUUAUAAAUAGGUACAUAUGCGACAAAUAUGGGAGUCAAGGGAACAAGGGACUAUAUGGAACAAACUCGUUAGAGAAAGCGUCUCUAGAUCGAUGGAUAGGGGCAGAAGGACAAAGCUUCAAUCCACCAAGUUGAGUUCUUCUAUAGCUGGCUUUUGCACCGCCAAUAAAGCUUAAACAAGAUGAGAACUUGAUCAGACACAGUAGAAAAGCUCAAAAAAGUGCUUGAUGUGUGUGAAAAGAGGCUUGGAGAGAGCCAGUACUUGGCCGGAGAUGAAUUCACAUUGGCCGAUUUCUCUCACCUUCCAAGUAUCCAAUAUUUGGUGAAUGGGAAAGGCAGAGCAGAGCUCUUCACUUUAAGAGAAAAUGCGGGGAGGUGGUGGGUUGAGAUAUCCUGCCGAGAAUCAUGGAAGAAGGUAGUUGAAAUGCAGAACUCGCCCCCUCCCUCCUAGGACUUGUUGAAAUCGUUUGUUUUGGUAGGUAUUGAUGUGUGGUUUCUAAUGUUGUGACUUCUAUGUUCUCCAAUUAGACUAUCUACAUCCGCAUCUGUGGUUUGAAUAAAGUUUACUAGUUUAGACUUCCUACG
Capsicum annuum is the source of this 3136-nucleotide long non-coding RNA. RefSeq lists it as uncharacterized. The record is from RefSeq and is a predicted model, not a curated record. The transcript is spliced from 3 exons. Lineage: Eukaryota; Viridiplantae; Streptophyta; Magnoliopsida; Solanales; Solanaceae.